This 695-nucleotide ribosomal RNA is filed under the name uncultured Flavobacteriales bacterium. RNAcentral's name for it is "bacterial SSU rRNA". It matches the Rfam family "Bacterial small subunit ribosomal RNA", at positions 47 to 743 of the family's 1533-position model. The record is from RNAcentral. Lineage: Bacteria; Pseudomonadati; Bacteroidota; Flavobacteriia; Flavobacteriales.
CUUAACACAUGCAAGUCGAGGGGUAUUAGUUUUCGGACUAAGAGACCGGCGCACGGGUGCGUAACGCGUAUGCAAUCUACCUUUUACAGAGGGAUAGCCCAGAGAAAUUUGGAUUAAUACCUCAUAGUAUAGCAGUUUCGCAUGAAACCACUAUUAAAGUCACAACGGUAAAAGAUGAGCAUGCGUCCCAUUAGCUAGUUGGUAAGGUAACGGCUUACCAAGGCUACGAUGGGUAGGGGUCCUGAGAGGGAGAUCCCCCACACUGGUACUGAGACACGGACCAGACUCCUACGGGAGGCAGCAGUGAGGAAUAUUGGACAAUGGGCGCAAGCCUGAUCCAGCCAUGCCGCGUGCAGGAUGACGGUCCUAUGGAUUGUAAACUGCUUUUGUACGAGAAGAAACACUCCUAUGUAUAGGAGCUUGACGGUAUCGUAAGAAUAAGGAUCGGCUAGCUCCGUGCCAGCAGCCGCGGUAAUACGGAGGAUCCAAGCGUUAUCCGGAAUCAUUGGGUUUAAAGGGUCCGUAGGCGGUUUAGUAAGUCAGUGGUGAAAGCCCAUCGCUCAACGGUGGAACGGCCAUUGAUACUGCUGAACUUGAAUUAUUAGGAAGUAACUAGAAUAUGUAGUGUAGCGGUGAAAUGCUUAGAGAUUACAUGGAAUACCAAUUGCGAAGGCAGGUUACUACUAAUUGAUUGA